Molecule: ribosomal RNA, 489 nt
Filed under: uncultured bacterium
Lineage: Bacteria
Description: partial 16S ribosomal RNA
Rfam family: Bacterial small subunit ribosomal RNA
Source: RNAcentral
AUUGAACGCUGGCGGCAGGCCUAACACAUGCAAGUCGAACGGUAACAGGAAGACGCUUGCUUCUUUGCUGACGAGUGGCGGACGGGUGAGUAAUGUCUGGGAAACUGCCUGAUGGAGGGGGAUAACUACUGGAAACGGUAGCUAUACCGCAUAACGUCGCAAGACCAAAGAGGGGGACCUUCGGGCCUCUUGCCAUCGGAUGUGCCCAGAUGGGAUUAGCUUGUUGGUGGGGUAACGGCUCACCAAGGCGACGAUCCCUAGCUGGUCUGAGAGGAUGACCAGCCACACUGGAACUGAGACACGGUCCAGACUCCUACGGGAGGCAGCAGUGGGGAAUAUUGCACAAUGGGCGCAAGCCUGAUGCAGCCAUGCCGCGUGUAUGAAGAAGGCCUUCGGGUUGUAAAGUACUUUCAGCGGGGAGGAAGGGAGUAAAGUUAAUACCUUUGCUCAUUGACGUUACCCGCAGAAGAAGCACCGGCUAACUCCGUG